GACGAACGCUGGCGGCGUGCCUAAUACAUGCAAGUAGAACGCUGAAGAGAGGAGCUUACUCUUCUUGGAUGAGUUGCGAACGGGUGAGUAACGCGUAGGUAACCUGCCUUGUAGCGGGGGAUAACUAUUGGAAACGAUAGCUAAUACCGCAUAACAAUGGAUGACACAUGUCAUUUAUUUGAAAGGGGCAAUUGCUCCACUACAAGAUGGACCUGCGUUGUAUUAGCUAGUAGGUGAGGUAAUGGCUCACCUAGGCGACGAUACAUAGCCUACCUGGGAGGGUGAUCGGCCCCACUGGGACUGAGACACGGCCCAGACUCCUACGGGAGGCAGCAGUAGGGAAUCUUCGGCAAUGGGGGCAACCCUGACCGAGCAACGCCGCGUGGGUGAAGAAGGUUUUCGGAUCGGAAAGCUCUGUUGUAAGUCAAGAACGGGUGUGAGAGUGGAAAGUUCACACUGUGACGGUAGCUUAACAGAAAGGGACGGCUAACUACGUG
This 497-nucleotide ribosomal RNA is filed under the name uncultured bacterium. RNAcentral describes it as "partial 16S ribosomal RNA". It matches the Rfam family "Bacterial small subunit ribosomal RNA", at positions 28 to 507 of the family's 1533-position model. The record is from RNAcentral.